UCUCUCCUUGGUGUAGUUGGUUCAUCACGUUCGACUGCAAAUGGAAAGGUCCCUAGUUCGAUUCUGGGAGGGAGAA
RNAcentral lists this transfer RNA (76 nucleotides) under Magnaporthiopsis poae ATCC 64411. RNAcentral's name for it is "tRNA-Cys (GCA) (tRNA-Cys-GCA-4-1)". It matches the Rfam family "tRNA". Rfam says of the family: Transfer RNA (tRNA) molecules are approximately 80 nucleotides in length. Their secondary structure includes four short double-helical elements and three loops (D, anti-codon, and T loops). Lineage: Eukaryota; Fungi; Ascomycota; Sordariomycetes; Magnaporthales; Magnaporthaceae. The record is from RNAcentral.